UACAAUAUUUAGUGGUAGCUUAUUAUUGGUGACUGUCAGUUAAUUUACAUAUGGCAGAAAUGUAUGGAAAAAUCCAUUAAAGACGUAAUCAUACAGACAGUGAAAACUAUUAAU
This is a long non-coding RNA of Sinocyclocheilus rhinocerous, 114 nucleotides long. RefSeq lists it as uncharacterized. Lineage: Eukaryota; Metazoa; Chordata; Actinopteri; Cypriniformes; Cyprinidae. The transcript has 3 exons. The record is from RefSeq and is a predicted model, not a curated record.